Micropterus dolomieu (smallmouth bass) is the source of this 1312-nucleotide long non-coding RNA. RefSeq lists it as uncharacterized. The record is from RefSeq and is a predicted model, not a curated record. The transcript has 3 exons. Lineage: Eukaryota; Metazoa; Chordata; Actinopteri; Centrarchiformes; Centrarchidae.
UAUACCCAAAUCUACCAGCAGUGUGAGAUGGGAUCUUUAGAGUAUAGGUUUCUCAGCUACAAGGGGUGAUCAUGACAAUUCUGAUAUUUAUGCAACAUUUUGACAUGUUUCUUUCACUUAAUACAGUCCCUACUUCCUUUUGUGGAAAGUUGUUGAGAACCUGAAAGAUGUGGACGGCAGUAGCCCCUGUCCAUUCUGCACUUGACAGGCAAAGUCCUAUCACACAGGUGCAACUCCUCUGUGAGGAAGACUUCUGUGAAUCUAGCUUUGGUUGGAAGGAAAAGUAGUCACUGUUUGCCCUGUUGCAGUGAUGGAUUCUAUUGUAGAUCAUGGAGCAAAUAUCUCUGGUCCUGAAUUAGACACAAUAAUGAACAUACCAACCCAGUGGAUUGAAGCAGAGCUGAUUUUAAGUUGCUACCUUCCUUGUUAUUUCAUGGAGAGCAACUCCCAGUCACUGGCAGCACCACUGAGUGCAAUGCAGCACAGCAACACUCCAGUCAUUUAGUGAGUACACAUCGACAACAUUGCUGAGAAUGACAUCUGUAAACUCUGAACUCUACCCUUGACAAACUGGGCAAAAUCACGAGGUCUAGUGGCUGUUAGCAUUUGUUGGCUAUGUCUUUGUCAUGACUUUGUUUUUAUAUGUGGCAUUUCUUCAAUUCUGGCAACAUGAAUACAUGGAGUUUGUUUUGACUAGCGAAAUCCCAGUCAAAUAUUGCCUGGCAGGAUGAGCUGUAUAAAAAAUAUUGUGUGUAAAAGUGUACUUUUAUAAGUGGCUUAUUUAAAGGUGACAAAAGUUGGGUUUACCCAACUAACACUACUACUACUAAAAUUCUAUCCAAUGAAGAGCAGUUUUAUUUACAAGGACAUCUUUCCAUCUAGUGAUGAUGGUAAAAAAUGUCAGAAUUUCACGGCUGACACUGACCUUUUGAACCGAGUCACACAGUACCCAGUCUGCUUUUCUUUGACAAAUGCUUCCAUGGGGACAAAAGCUGCCUCGUGUAUCUCUGCCUACUUUUAACUAUUGUUGGUGUGGCGGUAGACAGAAUUAUGAAGGGAAUUAUUUACUGCUAAAAUUGAGGAAAUAUAGUUUGUUUUUUUUGUUUUUUUAAUUAGUUACUGCCAGUCACACCACAUAGAUUAAUUCAUUUACCAUUUUAAAACAUCAAAUCUGAAUUUAUUCGACUUUGGAUCUCAGCUGAGUUGAGUGGCAUUCAGCUUUGAAUUGCUACAGAACUUUCCUUUUUUAACAUUCAAAGGGAAAUUUGAUCCAGCACUUCUGACAAUAGUGCGCGUGUGUAUGUGUUUUGGU